RNAcentral lists this ribosomal RNA (826 nucleotides) under Alteromonadales bacterium. RNAcentral describes it as "bacterial SSU rRNA". It matches the Rfam family "Bacterial small subunit ribosomal RNA", at positions 660 to 1484 of the family's 1533-position model. Lineage: Bacteria; Pseudomonadati; Pseudomonadota; Gammaproteobacteria; Alteromonadales. The record is from RNAcentral.
GGUAGAAUUUCAGGUGUAGCGGUGAAAUGCGUAGAGAUCUGAAGGGAAUACCAGUGGCGAAGGCGGCCACCUGGACAGAGACUGACACUGAGGCGCGAAGGCGUGGGGAGCAAACGGGAUUAGAUACCCCGGUAGUCCACGCAGUAAACGAUGUCUAUUAGAAGUUUGUGGCUAUAUGCCGUGGGUUUCAAAGCUAACGCAUUAAAUAGACCGCCUGGGGAGUACGGCCGCAAGGUUAAAACUCAAAUGAAUUGACGGGGGCCCGCACAAGCGGUGGAGCAUGUGGUUUAAUUCGAUGCAACGCGAAGAACCUUACCAUCCCUUGACAUCCAGAGAAUCACCUAGAGAUAGAUGAGUGCCUUCGGGAACUCUGAGACAGGUGCUGCAUGGCUGUCGUCAGCUCGUGUUGUGAAAUGUUGGGUUAAGUCCCGCAACGAGCGCAACCCUUAUCCUUAGUUGCCAGCACGUAAUGGUGGGAACUCUAGGGAGACUGCCGGUGAUAAACCGGAGGAAGGUGGGGACGACGUCAAGUCAUCAUGGCCCUUACGGGAUGGGCUACACACGUGCUACAAUGGCAAAUACAAAGGGUUGCUAACCUGCGAGGGUAUGCGAAUCUCAUAAAGUUUGUCGUAGUCCGGAUCGGAGUCUGCAACUCGACUCCGUGAAGUUGGAAUCGCUAGUAAUCGUGGAUCAGAAUGCCACGGUGAAUACGUUCCCGGGCCUUGUACACACCGCCCGUCACACCAUGGGAGUGGGCUGCACCAGAAGUCAUUAGCUUAACCUUCGGGAUGGCGAUGACCACGGUGUGGUUCAUGACUGGGGUGAA